GCCACCCUACGUUCGAAACAUAAAAAAAGGCAUAGCCACCCUACGGACCACCAAAGCGCUGUGACGUUCUCUAAUAACGUCGUUUUGCAAAAGAAAAUUUAUAUGUAGAUUUAUUUUCAUUUAUAAAAAUUUAUUAAUUAUUUUUACUUAUCUUUAAAAUAUUAGAUAUCCAAAGCAGACUGUAAUGUACAAUUCUUUCCCAGUUCGCAGGCCUUUCGUUACGCUUUUAGCUUCCUUCGCUUCGCUCUUAGGCAUUUUACGCUCAAGCGUUACGUUUUCUCUUACUUUCUUGUCAUGUCAAUUUAAUGUUCCCCAGAAGUCUUCAGCUAAGCCAAACACUGCUCAUUUUAUUCUCUGUUUUUUCCUAUUUAUCUGUUUUUCAAAUUCAAAUGCUUAUCAGCUGACCUGAGAGAGAGAUAAAGUUGGAAUCGGAGCAAAUAUGGAGAACGUAAUUGCAGGUAAUGGAACUGCCAAUGAUGGAAUUAUAAAGAACGGUGUGUGCUCCUCCGAGUCGGACAAUGGAAGCUGUGAUGUGUGGAGUUGUAAGGACUCUGAUUCUUCUUCAGCUGAUCAUCUCGUUAUCAUGGUCCAUGGAAUCCUUGGAAGUGCCUCAGAUUGGAAGUUUGCAGCUGAGCAGUUUGUUAGAAUGCUUCCUGAUAAAGUGAUUGUUCAUUGUAGUGAACGAAAUGUGUCUAGGCUGACUCUUGAUGGUGUGGAUGUGAUGGGUGAGCGGUUGGCUGAGGAGGUCCUUCAAGUGAUUCAGAGAAAGCCAAAUUUGCGAAAGAUUUCCUUCAUUGCACAUUCUGUGGGAGGACUGGUGGCAAGAUAUGCAAUUGGAAGAUUGUAUAGAUCACCCCAGAAAGAAAAUUUAGAGGAUUCAGCGGCUGAUGCACAUGAAGAGGAUCUAAAGGCUACAAUAGGUGGCUUGGAGGCUAUCAACUUCAUCACUGUUGCUACACCUCACCUUGGCUCAAGAUGGAAUAAGCAGGUAUCAUAUUUUAACUAUUUCUGUUCAUCUAGAGCUUUAAGCCUCAUCAAUGUCCACCCUAAGACUUGAGAAAACAACAUGAUAAUAUGAUAUGGUUGGUUACAUUCUAAUAGAGAAAGAGUAACUUGACAUUCUUUGCAUAAAAGAAAUGUUGUAAUAGUAAAGAAAAAUCCGAUAGUUUAUGAAUCAGGACUCUUUUGAAUUAUGGGCUGAAAGAAUGCAUUGUGAUUCCCAGUUGCUUCUACAGUAUUUCCCUUGAGAGAUUGAGAGUAUGGACUGUUAUUGGUAUAGUGCCUGUAUUAAUGCCGCCUAUAUUCCUUGACCAUAAAAUAAAAACAUUUUCAUGGGAAAAGGAUAAUAAAUUUAACAAUAAUUAAACAAGACUACAAGAGGAUCUUUUUGUUGUAGUUGUAUAUGCUCUCAGCUUGCUUGAAAGCUUGGAGUUUUAUCUUACAGCUGCUUUAGGCCAUGAUGAAUUCAAGUUGGCACUUUUCCUCACGACUCUUGCCUGAUCUGAGCAAAUUGUCAUUUUUCUGCAAGUGAACCUGAAACGCAUGAUGAUUUGUGUUAGCUUAGUUUGCAUGGAUGGGCAACUUUGAGCUGAUAUUUAAUUGGAAGAAUGAUAAAAAGGAACCCAGUUUUGUACAAUAAUUGCUCACAUGCGUCACUGUGGUACCUGAAUCAACUACAAAAAUAUGCCUAAUGCUGCUUUAUGAAUUUGCAUCAGCUGUUAGUUUUACUUUUUUACAAUCCAUUCAUGAUAUAGUUAACCUGGAAUCCUACUAACUCUGGGUAUGUAAAUAGUAUUUCACAUUUUUCUGUUUUUAUGUGAACUGCUGCAUAUUAAUAUACCUAUUCGUAGGUUUUAGGGGACCGGCAUUAAAACCCUUUACCUAUUUUGUUAAAAAUUGUUUUUUUUUUUUGGAGGUACCUUUUCUUUUUGGUGUAACUGCCUUUGAAAAAGCUGCGGGUCUUGUUAUUCAUUGGAUAUUUAAGAGAACAGGUCGACACCUUUUUCUCACGGAUGAUGAUGAGGGACAACCUCCAUUGCUUAAACGCAUGAUAGAAGAUUAUUGUGAUUGCUUUUUCAUGUAUACCACUUGGAUCCCAAUUGUUAUUUGAAUUGUUUUAUUUUCACUAAUUUUCUUAAGGUGUCAUCUCUGUCAUAUCCAGAUGUGUAAUUUAACAGAAGCACCUAACUCAAUAUGCAGGUCUGCUUUGUGUACAUUCAAGCGUCGUGUUGUGUAUUCAAAUGUGGGCUAUGACCGUAUCCUUAUAAUUCAUUCUUCAUUAUAAGUGGCCAUUAUUCAUUAUGGUCUGAAUUUUUUCUAGUCUUCCUUCCUUUGUUUCCUUCAUGAAAAACCAUAUAGAUAUUGUGGGCUGGAGAACAUCAUCCAUCAGGCGUAACAAUGAAUUACCAAAGGUGUGCUUGGAAUUUGUAUUUAUUUAUUUAUAAUGUUUUUGACCUGCUGGGUGGAAUUUAGUGAUUUCUCUUGCCUAUCAGUGGGAGGAUUAUGUGAAUGAAAAAUAUCCACAUAUCGUAUAUGAAGAACGCUGCAAAGCCUAUGAUGCCGAACAAUGCGAUCUUAUAUCAACAGAAGAUAAUAGCUCUGACAAGCUAGAAGGUAUGUACCUAUGAUCUUUGAAUUCAAAGAUAACAGCAGUUUUGAUGACUGUUAGUUUUGAUGACUCUGUUAAGUUAUUUGCCUUAGGUUCUACCAACUCAUAAUGAUGAAAAUACCUUUUGUACAUUUGUAUUGCCUACUGCUUCUAAAAGCUUGUUAAUUGAGAGUAUUUGUGCAGAGGAACUAGUGACAGGUCUAUCCCGUGUGUCCUGGGAAAAAGUAGAUGUUAGCUUCCACACCUGCAGACAGAGGUUUGCUGCUCAUAGCGUGAUUCAGGUUUUUCUCACAUCCUCUCUCUCACGCACGCAAGCACAUUAUUGAAAGUUGGCAUGCAAUUACGGUCACAUUCCUGCCGUUGGUUUUGCCUGCAGCUGGGGUUCUUUUGGUGACAUGUUAAACAUGGAAAAUUUCUUGGAUUCAUAUUGGUGCCUCUAGUCUCUUGUGUAUUCAGUGCAAAAACACUGAAAGAAAUUCUUUUCCUUAUAUACUACAUUAUUUCUGAAGGCGCAAACUAAUUGUGGAUGCUUUGCAGGUCAAAGAUCAUAUCAUGCAUAUAGAAGGUGCAGAUGUUAUACAGCAUAUGAUUGAUCAUUUUCUUCUUUAGAAUUCAAUGACUGGUAGAUUUAACACAUUUAUUGCUGGAUGCAAGAUCUUAUAUCAUGGUACAAUAAUAUUCUUCUGAAAAUCCUUUCCAUUCUUUCUGGCUACAAAUAAGCUGUACCUAAAAUUCUGUUGGCAGCAGAUUGAAGUUUGUCUGCUUUAUCGGUGAUGGCAAACACAACAAGAACAGUGACUAAACAGCAUUCAAGGGAAAUUUUGUUUAUUCAUUACUACUUGUAAUUCCGUAUAUACAACAAUAUCAAUAAACUCGAUAAUUCCUGUUAUUUUGUUAAUCGACUUAAUUCAUGCAAGUAAGCUGUUCUAUUUUCGGUUAGUUAAAAA
RNAcentral lists this unclassified non-coding RNA (3555 nucleotides) under Hevea brasiliensis (rubber tree). Lineage: Eukaryota; Viridiplantae; Streptophyta; Magnoliopsida; Malpighiales; Euphorbiaceae. The record is from RNAcentral.